This 520-nucleotide ribosomal RNA is filed under the name uncultured Glomus. Its description in RNAcentral is "SSU rRNA". It matches the Rfam family "Eukaryotic small subunit ribosomal RNA", at positions 569 to 1085 of the family's 1831-position model. Lineage: Eukaryota; Fungi; Glomeromycota; Glomeromycetes; Glomerales; Glomeraceae. The record is from RNAcentral.
AGCAGCCGCGGUAAUUCCAGCUCCAAUAGCGUAUAUUAAAGUUGUUGCAGUUAAAAAGCUCGUAGUUGAAUUUCGGGGUUAGUAGGUUGGUCAUGCCUCUGGUACGUACUGGUCUCACUGAUUCCUCCUUCCUGAUGAGCCGUAAUGCCAUUAAUUUGGUGUUGCGGGGAAUUUGGACUGUUACUUUGAAAAAAUUAGAGUGUUUAAAGCAAGCUAACGCUUGAAUACAUUAGCAUGGAAUAAUGAAAUAGGACGUUCGAUCCUAUUUUGUUGGUUUCUUAGGAUUUGACGUAAUGAUUAAUAGGGAUAGUUGGGGGGCAUUAGUAUUCAAUUGUCAGAGGUGAAAUUCUUGGAUUUAUUGAAGACUAACUACUGCGAAAGCAUUUGCCAAGGAUGUUUUCAUUAAUCAAGAACGAAAGUUAGGGGAAUCGAAGACGAUCAGAUACCGUCGUAGUCUUAACCAUAAACUAUGCCGACUAGGGAUCGGAUGAUGUUAAUUUUUUAAUGUACUCAUUCGGCG